CCUACGGGCGGCAGCAGUGGGGAAUAUUGCACAAUGGGGGAAACCCUGAUGCAGCGACGCCGCGUGAAGGAAGAAGUAUUUCGGUAUGUAAACUUCUAUCAGCAGGGAAGAAAGUGACGGUACCUGACUAAGAAGCCCCGGCUAACUACGUGCCAGCAGCCGCGGUAAUACGUAGGUGGCAAGCGUCGUCCGGAUUUACUGGGUGUAAAGGGCGUGCAGCCGGGAAGACAAGUCAGAUGUGAAAUCCCGCGGCUCAACCGCGGAACUGCAUUUGAAACUGUUUUUCUUGAGUACCGGAGAGGUCAUCGGAAUUCCUUGUGGAGCGGUGAAAUGCGGAGAUAUAAGGAAGAACACCAGUGGCGAAGGCGGAUGACUGGACGGCAACGGACGGUGAGGCGCGAAAGCGUGGGGAGCAAACAGGAUUAGAUACCCUAGUAGUC
Molecule: ribosomal RNA, 440 nt
Filed under: uncultured bacterium
Lineage: Bacteria
Description: partial 16S ribosomal RNA
Rfam family: Bacterial small subunit ribosomal RNA
Source: RNAcentral